AUGACGAUCUUAAGCUGGAACUGUCGGGGCUUGGGCCACCCUGGUACGGUUCGGGAAUUUGUGUGCCUAGUGCAUACCCAUCGCCCCUCUGUUGUGUUCAUUUCAGAGACACGACAGUGUGAAGAGAGCGUUAAAAGAAUAAGAGAUAGAAUAGGAAUCAAGAAUUGUAUCACCCAUGAUGGGGUUGGCAAGGGUGCCGGCAUCGCCCUCUUUUGGGACGAUAGCGUUGAAAUAAAUCUGCUCUCUUAUGGUUCGCGUUACAUUGAUGUUCAUAUCCGGGAAUCCCCCAACAGCCCACUCUGGAGAGGUACUUUUGUGUAUGGUGAGCCGCGUGCCCAGGAGAGACAUCAUAUGUGGAACCUAAUCCGGAGAAUAAAGCCUCGAUCAGCAGAACCUUGGAUGAUGAUUGGUGACUUCAAUGCAACUAUGUGGCAAGGAGAACACUUCUCUGCCACGAAGCGAUCUGAACGGCACAUGAGCAACCUCAGGGAAGUGUUGGGGUGGUGUGACCUAUAUGAUCUGGGAUACAGAGGGCCGGCAUGGACCUUUGAUAACAAACAAAAGGGGAAGGCAAAUGUGAAGGCUCGACUAGACAGGGGUACAAUGGAUGGAUAUGUUCCCGCAUGGUCAGAUACAACAUAUUGUGACCUCGAGAUCAGACCACUUCCCCUUGCUUCUCACUCUGGACAAGGUCCAUAUGUCGAACAGAAAGAAAAAUUUCAGAUACGAGAUGAUGUGGGAAAGAGUAAACACGUUGGAGACAACUGUAAAGAAGGCGUGGAGUAA
This 786-nucleotide ribosomal RNA is filed under the name Triticum aestivum (bread wheat). RNAcentral describes it as "partial small subunit ribosomal RNA". Lineage: Eukaryota; Viridiplantae; Streptophyta; Magnoliopsida; Poales; Poaceae. The record is from RNAcentral.